Non-coding RNA from Myotis daubentonii (Daubenton's bat), 1476 nucleotides. The record is from the annotation of a RefSeq genome assembly. NCBI's taxonomy places the organism in Eukaryota, Metazoa, Chordata, Mammalia, Chiroptera, Vespertilionidae.
GACUAUCUGAUGAAUCAGAGGUUUGCUGAUCAUAUCUUCUCACACUAACUGCUAUGCAGGUGUGUUGGUCACAGCAGGAAGCCACGAGUUUGGCUUGUCUGGAGGUAAGGCUUCUCUUGGAGCCUAUGUUUGGUGGAGAGUGUGAGGGAGCUUCCUUCUGUGGGGUAGCCUGGAUAAUUCAAGUCAGGUGUAGAGCAAGGAGCACAUGCUUCUAGGAAACAGAGAAGCUGUGGGGAUGACCACAGGCCACAAACCCUGCCUGGACAGCUCAGCAGAGCCAGCAGCACCUGUUCAUAGGAAGAUGGACAGAAUAAGGAAUGCCUGGAGCAGCUGAGCCUGUCCAGGAGGUGCAAGGUGCCUGUGGAGCCUACAAGGACAGUGACAUCACAGGCAAGCCCUCCACUCAGAGCAAAGGGAGGGGCAAAGCCUCUGCUCUCUCACCCUAAGCACCAGAGCCCAGAGCUGGGAGAUGGCCAGUCUUGCCCUGUCCAAAUCUUCCAGGGGCCCUCAGCUCCUCUGCUGCUUGGCCCUCUGUCUCCUGGGGGCAGGUUCAGUGGCUGCUGGAGUUACCCAGUCCCCAAGACAUGUAAUCAAAGGCCAAGGGGGGAUGGCCAUUCUGAAGUGCCACCCCAUCUCCGGACACAGAAGUGUGUACUGGUACCAGCAGGCUCUGGGACACGGCCCUCAAUUCCUCAUUGAAUAUUUUGAAAAGAAGGAGAGAGAAAAAGGGAGCAUCCCUGAUCGGUUCUCAGGAAAUCAGUCCAGUGACUACAGCUCUGAGCUGGCCAUGAGCGCCUUGCAGCUGGGAGACUCAGCUGUGUAUCUCUGUGCCAGCAGCUUAGACACAGCCCUGCAGGGUCAAUGGCUUUCUGUACUCAAACCUCCCUGCCCCAGCUGAGGAUGUCACAGGAGAGGGAGGGGGCCUUAGCAACUUACCAGUAUAGGGCUAACUUCUUUUGCAACAUCCUCCCUGGCCUGCUGAGCUCAGCCAGAGCUUUCCUGAGUGUCCUCCCAGCUCUGCCAGCACCUUGCAAUUCCUAGCACAUGGCAGGAACUCCUGCUGUGGUAGAUGGGUUGUCCACAUUGUGUGUGCUAAUGCGAGGUAGACACUGUGUGUCCAUUUUACAGAAGAUAAAAUGCUCCAUAUAUGGUUUUAUAGCCAGGAUGUUGCAGCUCCUGGAUGUCCCAAAUAUUUCACAUUUGUCAACCAUACAUCUCCAGGCCUCAGAAGUCAACAUUCCCCCAGAAUUCCAUGGUGCUGCCUGUGCCUUAGUUAAUGGAAUACUAUGCAACUCUACAAAAGAAGUAUCUCUCAUCCAUUGAGACAGCAAGGAGGGACUUGGAGAGUAUUAUGCUAAGCAAAGUAAUUCAGUCAGAGAAAGACAAGUAUCACAUGAUCUCACUUACAUGUGGAAUCUAGUGAACAAAAUAGAUACAGAGACAUAGAAGCAUGAAACAGAAUGACGUACCUCAGAG